RNAcentral lists this ribosomal RNA (439 nucleotides) under uncultured bacterium. RNAcentral's name for it is "partial 16S ribosomal RNA". It matches the Rfam family "Bacterial small subunit ribosomal RNA", at positions 338 to 795 of the family's 1533-position model. The record is from RNAcentral.
CCUACGGUGGCAACAGUGGGGAAUAUUGCACAAUGGGGGGAACCCUGAUGCAGCGACGCCGCGUGAGUGAAGAAGUAUUUCGGUAUGUAAAGCUCUAUCAGCAGGGAAGAAAAUGACGGUACCUGACUAAGAAGCCCCGGCUAACUACGUGCCAGCAGCCGCGGUAAUACGUAGGGGGCAAGCGUUAUCCGGAUUUACUGGGUGUAAAGGGAGCGCAGACGGCUGUGCAAGUCUGGAGUGAAAGGCGGGGGCCCAACCCCCGGACUGCUCUGGAAACUGUAAAGCUGGAGUGCAGGAGAGGUAAGCGGAAUUCCUAGUGUAGCGGUGAAAUGCGUAGAUAUUAGGAGGAACACCAGUGGCGAAGGCGGCUUACUGGACUGCAACUGACGUUGAGGCUCGAAAGCGUGGGGAGCAAACAGGAUUAGAUACCCCAGUAGUC